This is a non-coding RNA of Cinara cedri, 212 nucleotides long. Lineage: Eukaryota; Metazoa; Arthropoda; Insecta; Hemiptera; Aphididae. The record is from the annotation of a GenBank genome assembly.
AUUGGAUCGCGGAUAAUUUUGAAUGGGUCGCCAACAAAUUAAAACGUUGGUGUAAUAUUUUUGUUUUGGACUACACGCAGUAUGAAAUAGUUUUGAAAAUAAUUAAUAAAAUAUUUUUCUUGACAAACAAUUAUACAAGUUCGUAAUUUUGGGACUAUGGUCUUUCAAUGCUGUAAACAUCGAAAUUCAUGGGAAUGAUGAAAUUUGAUAUG